Molecule: RNA transcript, 2785 nt
Organism: Vigna angularis (adzuki bean)
Lineage: Eukaryota; Viridiplantae; Streptophyta; Magnoliopsida; Fabales; Fabaceae
Exons: 9
Source: RefSeq, a predicted model, not a curated record
UGUCACCGAUUGAUCCAAAUUCGCCCCACUCCAAGACUAGUAAAAGUGCGUGUAAUGCACUCGCUCUUGGCACUUAACGGGACCGUCACCCGCGUGACGGCAGAUACCAGACCCACUCACGGAAGGUACGCUCCGUCAAACCCUCCCACACACACCUUCUCUCAACUCUCCAUUCUCUUUCCCUAACGUCCCCGACGACGCCGUAACGUCCUCCCUCACCGUUAUGGCCUCUUGCGACGACGACGACGACUUCUCUCUCCUCCGUGACGAUAACCACCACCUCCACCAGCCUUACGCCCCGCACCACCACUUCUCCCCCUCCGCCGUCGCCGUCGCUCCUGUCCCACCCAAAUCCGUUGCUGACGACGCCGACGACUAUGGAAACCCCUUCGACGACGACGGUGGCAGCGAAAAGCGGAAGGACCGGGAGGAGAUCGGCGAGGGAGCCACGUCGUACGGAUUCAACAAGAGAUCUAAGGCUCCGCAGUCGAGUGCAGGCAGUGCGGAGUACAGAAAGGACAGGGAGGAGUGGAGCGACACGGCCAUCGUGUGCCUCCUCGAGGCUUACACGGAGAAGUUCACACAGCUGAAUCGGGGAAACCUCAGAGGAAGGGAUUGGGAGGAGGUUGCGUUUGUGGUGAGCGAACGGUGCGAGAACCAAUCGAAGAGCGUGGAACAGUGUAAGAACAAGGUAGAUAACCUAAAAAAGAGGUACAAAUUGGAGCGACAAAGAAUGAGCAGUGGCUGCAUUUCUACCAGUCACUGGCCUUGGUUCAAACAAUUGGAGCAGAUCGUCGGGAAUUCUCUUCCGGCAAAAUUCUCUGAUGAGGAUAAAGCGGUUGUUUCUGCCGGAACUUCGCCCAGACAAUCGAAAAGAUAUGGAGUAGCAACACCCAGCACAGGUCAAGUGAAUAACAUUAGGUCAAAAGCACUGACAAACCUUAGAUGGCGGAGGGUAGUCUUCAAAAUUAGUGGAGCAGCUCUUACUGGAUCUGAUACCUGCAACAUGGACCCUAAGGUGGCUAUGUUAGUUUCAAGAGAAGUUGCCAUAGCUUCCCGCCUUGGUGUUGAGGUGGCGAUUGUUGUUGGAGGCUGUAAUUUCUUCUCUGGAGAUGCAUGGGUAAAUGCGACAGGUCUAGAAAGAUGCACUGCAUACCAAGUUGGCAUGAUGGCAACAGUGAUGAAUUCAAUAUUGCUCCAAUCGACUCUAGAGAAGAUGGGUGUUCAGACUCGUGUACAAACUUCAAUUGCCAUGCAGGAGUUUGCUGAACUAUACAAUAGGCAGCGGGCUAUCAGACAUCUUGAGAAAGGAAGAGUUAUUAUAUUUGGUGGCAUCAGUUUUGGUGCUGGCAAUCCACUUUUCUCAACUGACAUAGCUGCAGCUCUUCGUGCUUCAGAGCUUAAUGCUGAAGCAGUCCUCAAGGGUACUAAUGUAGACGGUGUGUAUGACUGCAACUCACGGGAUAACAAUUUCACUUUUGAGCACAUAUCCUUCAGAGAGCUGGGCUCAAGAGGAAUCACUUCUAUGGAUGCGUCAGCGCUGACUUUAUGCAAGGAAAAUGCCAUUCCUGUGGUGGUUUUUAAUCUACUGGAGCCUGGGAACAUCUCUAAAGCCUUAUGUGGAGAACAAGUUGGCACACUAAUUGAUCAAACUGGAGCAGUCGCAUGAGAUUUAAUUCAUGACAAUGCCAUUGAAGGGUUACCAGAUUAUUAGUUGCGGAUUCACGUCGCUUUCAAGACAAUGCCAUUGAACUGUGUACCAAUGUCCACCGCUGCAAACUCCAGAUGUACAACAUUAUACAAUUCAACAAGACAAUAAUUAUUAAGAGCAUCGAUAAUUCAGAUUUGUGUCACGUUCAACAAUGGAAUUCCACAGAACUCACAAAUUUUACAAAGAACAGUUAUAGCAAAAGCAAAAGGUAAUGUGCACUGAGAUAAUGCAACCAGAAAGAGGAGCUAAUCACUGCAGUGAAAUGGUGGGAAUGGAAGGUGAAAGCGAAUUGCGCGAUUCAUCAUAGUCCUCCCCAAGUGGCGAUUGCUCCACCCUGAUCUCCUCAACCAUUUUCACAACUUCUUCCAUAGUUGGCCUCUUCUCCGGCUGCGCCACCACACAGGCCAACCCCACAUGCAACAUGGACACAAGCUCUUCCUCGAUGUUCUUGUAGCGCAAAAGCUCCUGGUCAAACACCUCUGCGGUCCACUCUUCCUUCACGACGGAGCGAACCCAUUUGGGAAGGUCCACCACGGCCUGUUCCUCUUCCUCCAUUCUGGGACGAGCCGGUGAAGGGUACUGCGACGAAGGAGCUCUUCCUGUGAGAACUUCCAACAGCAACACCCCGAAGCUGUACACGUCAGCUUGCUGAGACAACCUCUUGUGCUGUUCCUGUUCGGGGGCCCUGUACCCUCCCAGUCGUGCAAUGGCGUGAACCGGGUUCAAGAGGAGUGAUAGCCCGAAGUCCGAGAUGCAGGCGACGCCGUUUUUGUCUAGAAGCACGUUCGAAGAUUUCACGUUCCCGUGAGGCACUUUUGCUGCACUGUACUCUGCGUGGAUCUUCGCUAGACCUCUUGCUGCUCCCAACACCAGGCUUAUUCUAGUAGUCCAAUCCAAUGGAAUCCUCCCCGGACCACGGUUCCCUAUCAUCGGUAUCCAACAAACCCACCACAAGACAAAAAUUUAAAUCACCUUAAAUUGUGAAAUUUGAUUUUCAGUUAAAUUAGUUCUAGUUCUUUCAGACUCGUAUAAGUUUCUUUUGGAGCAAUGCAGAGGUACAUAAAAGUUUGUUUA